GGAUAAUAUUUCAUAGUUGAAUUGGCUUGGAAAAGUUUUUCAACAAAAGGGAUAGGGAAAAUGGUCUCUAUCCGCUAUAGGAUAGGAUCGUGUUCGAUUAUGGUAGUUGGUGAGGUAACGGCUCACCAAGCCGAUAAUCGAUAGGGGCCGUGAGAGCGGGAGCCCCGAGAUGGGUACUGAGACAACGACCCAGGCCUUACGAGGCGCAGCAGGUACGAAACCUCCACAAUACACGAAAGUGUGAUGGGGUUACCCAAAGUGUUCAUUAUUGAACUGUGGUAGGAGAGUAAUGUCCCCUACUAGAAAGGAGAGGGCAAGGCUGGUGCCAGCCGCCGCGGUAAAACCAGCUCUUCAAGUGGUCGGGAUAAUUAUUGGGCUUAAAGUGUCCGUAGCCGGUUUGGUAAGUUCUUGGUAAAAUCGGAUAGCUUAACUAUCUGUAUGCUAGGAAUACUGCUAUACUAGAGGGCGGGAGAGGUCUGAGGUACUACAGGGGUAGGGGUGAAAUCUUAUAAUCCUUGCAGGACCACCAGUGGCGAAGGCGUCAGACUGGAACGCGCCUGACGGUGAGGGACGAAAGCCAGGGGAGCGAACCGGAUUAGAUACCCGGGUAGUCCUGGCCGUAAACGAUGCAUACUAGGUGAUGGUACGGCUAUGAGCCAUAUCAGUGCCGUAGGGAAACCGUUAAGUGUGCCGCCUGGGAAGUACGGUCGCAAGGCUAAAACUUAAAGGAAUUGGCGGGGGAGCACCACA
RNAcentral lists this ribosomal RNA (750 nucleotides) under uncultured archaeon. RNAcentral describes it as "bacterial SSU rRNA". It matches the Rfam family "Archaeal small subunit ribosomal RNA", at positions 144 to 883 of the family's 1478-position model. The record is from RNAcentral.